AACGUAGGAGACGAACGUUAUCCGGAGUUACUGGGCGUAAAGGGCGUGCAGGCGGCCGCCUAAGUCUGGCGUGAAAUAUCCCGGCUCAACCGGGAUAGGUCGUCGGAGACUGGGCAGCUAGAGGGCGGUAGAGGCGUGUGGAAUUCCGGGUGUAGUGGUGAAAUGCGUAGAGAUCCGGAGGAACACCAGUGGCGAAGGCGACACGCUAGGCCGCACCUGACGCUGAGACGCGACAGCAUGGGGAGCGAACGGG
This 253-nucleotide ribosomal RNA is filed under the name uncultured bacterium. Its description in RNAcentral is "partial 16S ribosomal RNA". It matches the Rfam family "Bacterial small subunit ribosomal RNA", at positions 524 to 776 of the family's 1533-position model. The record is from RNAcentral.